GUGAAUCAUCGAAUCUUUGAACGCAAAUUGCACUCUCUGGUAUUCCGGAGAGUAUGCCUGUUUGAGGGUCAGUUUAAUCAAAAAUCGGUGUGGUUGCCGCUUUUCGUGGUGACGCACCGGAUUUGGGUCGCUUUGUUUUCGGUUAAGUGCCUUAAAAUUUUGCAUGAUUUUCAUUGAACAUUUUUAAAUGAUUUUAUGUACGUUUGAGAUAUCGAAUAUUAGGUGUGGUCAUUCCCAUGAUCCGGGCCUAUAAUUUCCC
This 259-nucleotide unclassified non-coding RNA is filed under the name Glomeraceae sp. RNAcentral describes it as "partial contains 5.8S ribosomal RNA and internal transcribed spacer 2". The stretch from base 1 to 71 matches the Rfam family "5.8S ribosomal RNA", at positions 84 to 154 of the family's 154-position model. Lineage: Eukaryota; Fungi; Glomeromycota; Glomeromycetes; Glomerales; Glomeraceae. The record is from RNAcentral.